GGAGGACACUGUACAGCUCCCAUGAAAAGGGAAAACAGGCAUUAAACUACCAUCUUGAUUAUGUAGAAGCCUGAAUUUGAUGAGGAUUUCCUUUGGUUGUUGGACAGCUGAUUUUCGGCACCGGUAAGUAAAAAAGUAAUGAAUAUCUUGCUACUUGCUUUCCACUGUAAACUCAUUGUAUUUAGAAAGAAAAAGAGGUAAAUCUUUUCCUUCUUUUUACAGGAAAGGGAACAUCAAAUGUACGUUGUACCAGAGCCCAACUGUGUUGAACAACUGCAUGUACAAUGUUUUAUGAUUUCAUUUUUCUCUUGGCCUUUUUUAUGAUUCUAUUGUUUCCAGAAGUGUCCAUUCCAAAUAAAUACCUACCAACUUUCCUUGGAGCAUUCAGAAAGCACUAAUUAGCUGUUAAACAGCAGCCGUGUCAGACUACUACCUGUUUUCAACCAAAUUCUCAGUUCUUCUUGUUGCACUUCUUAAGAGCAUCUGAUCCAAAGCAGCACUGGAUUUUUUUGAGUUCUGGUGAAGUAAAUAGUGUCUAAAGCACUCAACAUCAUGCAGGAUCAGCUCUCUGAAUAUAUCCAAGAUGGACCUUUGUUGACGUGCAUUCAAAAUGUCAGUUGUGGACACAUUUGCUGCGCAGACCAGCCAAAGGCUUAUGUUUUGUGUCAUUUCAUGCUAUAGAACAAUAGGCAAAAUCAGAAAGAUAACAUCCUAGGGCAACUGCACUGGUUUAGGAUGUGUUUUGCAUUUCCACUUAUUUCUGUUGCUUUGUCAUAGUUGGUCUCCUCAUCGGACUGACUUGGACUAACUGCUGUCAUGCAUAUGCUCUUCUUGCUCCCACUUCCUUCUUCUCGUUCCACAGACGGCUGAAUGAACAGCAUGCCAGAAGCUUGUUGGGAGCUGGAAAGAGCAUGAAAGUGUCCUUUCUGGCUUUACUUCAAUAUCUUUGCCAGAUCCUGAUGUUGGGUGGAACCCGGAAAGUAUUCACAUAGAAAAACAAUUAAGAAAAUGCCAUGAACAGUAUUAAUUUGGGUUUUAAUGUGAAUUUAUCUGACUCAUUUGAACAACAUUUAUUUCAAAGUCUCAGAAACACUUUUAAAAAAAGUUAGCAAUGAAAAUGUAUUACUUGCUCUUUUUUUGUAGGUACGAAGCAGACUUGAUUCAGAAUAAGAUCUGUAAUGUGUUAAAUUUAGAAGGACAAAAUUGGCUUCAGAAUAAUGAAAUUGAUCUUGCUCUGCAAAUAUCGUCUAUUCUUGUUGUUUAUAAUAAGGAUUAUAUAGUGUAAUAGACUAUAUAGCAAUAAUUAUUCUUUAACAGUCUAUGUUUAAAGAAAUGCCUCAUAUGCAUACUGAAUUGGUAACUUCCAAAGGAAAUUAAGCAACUUUGACAGACUGAUCAACAAUGGAUGGCUAUUUGUCCUGAUUUUGGUGGGAAUAGACUUAGUUUUCACAAGAAACUGUGAGGAGACACAGCCAGGGUAGCUGACCCAAGCUGGCCAAAGGGAUUUUUGAUAUCAUCCUGACUAAAACUCAGUAUAUAAAGGGGGAGGCAUUGUGGCUCAGGAGUACGAGGAUGUCUUUUUCUGGGUGGUAAGUGUUCUGUGCUGUGUACCGUUCGUUUUGUGUAUGUUCUUAUUGUUGUUAUUGUUAUUUUUUUCCUCCUCUUUGCUGCCCUGUCAGAUUGUUUUUAUCCUAACCCACAAGUUUUACCAUCUUUGUUUUCACUUCUCCUCCCCAUCCCACCAAGGCUGCAAGAGGAACGAGUGAACAGCCAUGCGUUUCUUUGUUGCUGGUUGGGGCUACACCAUGACAACAGUACAUCUGGAGUCAUUGGAGACAGUAGAAACGGAGCCUCUAUACCUUAAAAUGGUGACCCUCAGGAAGACAGAGAUCAAACCAUUUGCUUUUGCAUUUUACUGGGAAACUUAUUCAUCCUGAACCACUUCAAGUCAAUGGAAAGAUCAUUUUAAUACUACCAGCAAGACACUGUUGCACUGAGUACCCUGUUACUCUGCUCAUGUCUGCUUCCUUGAAAACUUCUGAUUACAGUGAUGGAGAUGCUUGCUUACGUUGCUUAGGAUGCCAUUUAAGUUGGUGGCCAUGUGCCUGAGAGCAACCUUAAUCUCUUAACAUGGAAGAAGUUACAUCAACUACACGCCUGUGAAGACUGUACCGUGCAAAUUGUAUGGGACAAAAUUGGUGUCGUCGCAGGUCAGAUUGCUUAAAUUGAUGAACAGGGUUAGUCAGUCCUCAUCACGUAACAUACUACGAAGGUACUGCCUCUGAAGUCCAUGAAGCUGAGAAAUGUUAGCAGCUGAAAGCAUUCUCUGAGACAGUGGCUCCAGCUGCUUGCUGCUUUCUUGUACUGUUCCCUCGUCAUGUAUCUGACUGCUUUUGGAGAACAGGUACGGGGCUUAACGGACUGUUGAUGUGACCCCAUCACAUGUGGCUGCUCCUGCAUUUUACCAGGGUCCUGUAUUUCCCACAUCCAGUUAUCUGUGCAAAGGAGGAGGAGGAGUUCUUUAAGAAACAGUAUAGGUAAAUUUUCCAAGAGUACACUUUUCUUAGCUUACAUGAAAAUCCAUGUGAAAAAAAUGGAUAAAAGCAAGAUAGGGUAUAGAAAUGAGGAUAUAGAGCUUCCGUAGUGAAAGAAAAGCGAAACUUGGAUCUUAAUGAAGUAAGAGAAGCAGAAUUAGAUUGAAUCUUCCCCAGAGUCCUAAAAAAGCUUCUAUUAAAACUUUAGAUAUAAUAGCAAGUAUUUUUAUUAUGUCUAUCUAGUUGUGUUGUCUGUCAAGAACAUCUCAGAUGAUAGUAUACAUAUUUAAGGCAAGGCAUGAAGCGAAUUUAGGAUGAUUAUGAACUUCAUUAUGAUAUCAUUCAGGACUUCAGAACAAACUUCAAAGGAAAGGAUAAUUCAAAGAUAAGUGAGUAUGGAAUUAAUUACAAAAUGAAUUUAAUAAGUGUAGGUCACAACCAACUAACCUGAUAGUACUUUUUUGAAUUUAUAAGAAUUGUCAAUGCUACACACUAGGAUACCAAUAAUGAUCUUUCUGAAGUCCAAAACCGAAAUUCAGUACACAUCAGACAGAGUUGCAUGGCCCCAGAGCUUGUUUGACAAUAAUCAUGCAGUUCCUUCUGUUUGUCAUUAACAAAAAUAAAAUUGUCAAGACAGUUUGGUCUUUUGCAGUUGUUGGUUUCAUUGGCUUUCCAGUGUUGUAUAAUAAAACCUCUUGUCAGCAGAUGCAAAUGAGACCUCGUUUACGAAUAGCAGAAUUUUUAACAAAACUUUUUUUUCCAUGCAAAUUACAUUUUAACUGCUGAAUGGAAACCACAUGAAGAAGGCAGAUAUAAAUGUUCUUAAUGGAA
Molecule: long non-coding RNA, 3365 nt
Organism: Cuculus canorus (common cuckoo)
Lineage: Eukaryota; Metazoa; Chordata; Aves; Cuculiformes; Cuculidae
Exons: 3
Source: RefSeq, a predicted model, not a curated record